UGGGGAAUAUUGCACAAUGGGCGCAAGCCUGAUGCAGCAACGCCGCGUGAACGAUGAAGGUCUUCGGAUCGUAAAGUUCUGUUGCAGGGGAAGAUAAUGACGGUACCCUGUGAGGAAGCCCCGGCUAACUACGUGCCAGCAGCCGCGGUAAUACGUAGGGGGCUAGCGUUAUCCGGAUUUACUGGGCGUAAAGGGUGCGUAGGUGGUCUUUCAAGUCGGUGGUUAAAGGCUACGGCUCAACCGUAGUUAGCCUCCGAAACUGGAAGACUUGAGUGCAGGAGAGGAAAGUGGAAUUCCCAGUGUAGCGGUGAAAUGCGUGGAUAUUGGGAGGAACACCAGGAGCGAAGGCGGCUUUCUGGACUGCAACUGACACUGAGGCACGAAAGCGUGGGUAGCAAACAGG
Molecule: ribosomal RNA, 403 nt
Filed under: Verrucomicrobiota bacterium
Lineage: Bacteria; Pseudomonadati; Verrucomicrobiota
Description: Verrucomicrobia bacterium partial 16S ribosomal RNA
Rfam family: Bacterial small subunit ribosomal RNA
Source: RNAcentral